This 270-nucleotide ribosomal RNA is filed under the name uncultured archaeon. RNAcentral describes it as "partial 16S ribosomal RNA". It matches the Rfam family "Archaeal small subunit ribosomal RNA", at positions 477 to 747 of the family's 1478-position model. The record is from RNAcentral.
CUGCAGCCCGAGUGGUAAUCGAUUUUAUUGAGCCUAAAGCGUCCGUAGCCGGACUAGUAAACCCUUGGGUAAAUUGGGCAGCUUAACUGUCCAAAUUCCGAGGGGACUGCUAGUCUUGGGACCGGGAGAGGUCAGAGGUACUCAAGGGGUAGGGGCUAAAUCCUGUAAUCCUUUGGGGACCACCAGUGGCGAAGGCGUCUGACUAGAACGGAUCCGACGGUAAGGGACGAAACCCUGGGGCGCGAACCGGAUUAGAUACCCGAGUAGUCC